This 624-nucleotide long non-coding RNA is filed under the name Numida meleagris (helmeted guineafowl). RNAcentral's name for it is "lncRNA (ENSNMEG00000013596.1)". The record is from RNAcentral. Lineage: Eukaryota; Metazoa; Chordata; Aves; Galliformes; Numididae.
AUGGUGGGAUGGGAAGGGCUGGAAUGGACGGGACAGGACAAGACACGACGGGAUGGGCGAGGUGAGCAUACAGCUCCCCAGCUGAACACAGGGUUUGUGUUGAAUUGGGCUAUCCGAAUGCUUGAGACAAGUGAGUUCCAGCUUGGGAGCUCCAUCCUGGGAGCCCCACCUCCAGCCAUAGGAGCUGCAGCAGGAGAAGCAGACCUGAGCAGUCACACUGAUGUGCUGCCACCCCAGCACCACCACCCAAAUUCCACCACAUCCCCAGGAGGCAGCUCGCCAUCGUGCUGGCUGACCUCGAGCUGCCAAGCCCGUUCCUUUCCGCCUCUCUGCAAGUGCUCCUCUGCCAGCGGGCAUGGGUUACAACUGGUACCUGAUGGAAGCCUACUACACACCAGCACAUCGCGGUCAAAGGCACGCGCAAGCCAAGCGGCCAGCAGACAGGGUCGUGACCCUCACUGCUGCUGGGAUGUGCCUGGCCUCGUGUUAGCCCAACGUCAGCUCCACAGCCCAAGGGACCAAGCACACGUUGAUGACACAACACACGCUGAUGACCCAGAUAACCAAGAGCAGCCCUCAUGGGACAGGCAACGUGCAGACAGACGGGGAUGGAGAGGGGGAUAA